CCCUUAGAUGUCCUGGGCCGCACGCGCGUUACACUGAUGCAUUCAACGAGCUUAUAACCUUGGCCGAGAGGCCUGGGCAAUCUUGUUAACGUGCAUCGUGAUAGGGAUAGAUUAUUGAAAUUAUUAAUCUUGAACGAGGAAUUCCUAGUAAGUGCAAGUCAUCAGCUUGCGCUGAUUACGUCCCUGCCCUUUGUACACACCGCCCGUCGCUACUACCGAUUGAAUGGUUUAGUGAGAUCUCUGGAUUGACGCUGGCUAGGGGGCGACCCUUGGCCAGACUGUUGAGAAACUGCUCAAACUUGAUCAUUUAGAGGAAGUAAAAGUCGUAACA
Molecule: ribosomal RNA, 331 nt
Filed under: uncultured eukaryote
Lineage: Eukaryota
Description: partial 18S ribosomal RNA
Rfam family: Eukaryotic small subunit ribosomal RNA
Source: RNAcentral